This 72-nucleotide transfer RNA is filed under the name bacterium. RNAcentral describes it as "tRNA-Asn". It matches the Rfam family "tRNA". Rfam says of the family: Transfer RNA (tRNA) molecules are approximately 80 nucleotides in length. Their secondary structure includes four short double-helical elements and three loops (D, anti-codon, and T loops). Further hydrogen bonds mediate the characteristic L-shaped molecular structure. tRNAs have two regions of fundamental functional importance: the anti-codon, which is responsible for specific mRNA codon recognition, and the 3' end, to which the tRNAs corresponding amino acid is attached (by aminoacyl-tRNA synthetases). tRNAs cope with the degeneracy of the genetic code in two manners: having more than one tRNA (with a specific anti-codon) for a particular amino acid; and 'wobble' base-pairing, i.e. permitting non-standard base-pairing at the 3rd anti-codon position. The record is from RNAcentral.
UCCGGAGUAGCUCAACGGUAGAGCGGGUGGCUGUUAACCACUAGGCUGGGGGUUCGAAUCCCUCCUCCGGAG